AUCACUUUGUCAAUGGCACAUUGUGUUGUGGCAGUCAUCGUGAAAAGGCAAAGAUUUCUCGCUUUGAUGAAUUUAUAAAAACUAAACUAAAUCAAUCUGUAUUUGCAUCUUCAACAAUUCUUAUCUCUGUAUCGUCUGGUAUUGCUCUGAAGUCGAUCUGCAGAAGAUCGAAAAAUCCGUGAAGGCCUCAACCUGGCCAUUACCACGUUUGGUAAUUAUUAUAUCAAUGUGUGGAUUAUAAACUGUGGAUUAUUAACUGUGGAUUAUUAACUGUGGAUUAUUAACUGUGGAUUAUUACAAGCAACAUACGGCUCAACUCAAGUAAAAGGAAGACGUUAUAAGAAUAGUAUCGAAUGAAGAACAAGAAGCGUUGACGUGAUGGAGAUCAGUCAACA
This 395-nucleotide long non-coding RNA is filed under the name Dendronephthya gigantea. RNAcentral describes it as "uncharacterized LOC114516392". Lineage: Eukaryota; Metazoa; Cnidaria; Anthozoa; Malacalcyonacea; Nephtheidae. The record is from RNAcentral.